UGGGGAAUUUUGGACAAUGGGCGCAAGCCUGAUCCAGCCAUGCCGCGUGAGUGAAGAAGGCCUUAGGGUUGUAAAGCUCUUUCGCCCGCGAAGAUAAUGACGGUAGCGGGAGAAGAAGCCCCGGCUAACUCCGUGCCAGCAGCCGCGGUAAUACGGAGGGGGCUAGCGUUGUUCGGAAUUACUGGGCGUAAAGCGUACGUAGGCGGAUGCGCAAGUUGGGGGUGAAAUCCCGGGGCUUAACCUCGGAAUUGCCCUCAAAACUGCACGUCUUGAGACCGAGAGAGGUAAGGGGAAUUCCUAGUGUAGAGGUGAAAUUCGUAGAUAUUAGGAAGAACACCAGUGGCGAAGGCGCCUUACUGGCUCGGUACUGACGCUGAGGUACGAAAGCGUGGGGAGCAAACA
RNAcentral lists this ribosomal RNA (402 nucleotides) under uncultured bacterium. RNAcentral's name for it is "bacterial SSU rRNA". It matches the Rfam family "Bacterial small subunit ribosomal RNA", at positions 355 to 774 of the family's 1533-position model. The record is from RNAcentral.